Molecule: ribosomal RNA, 272 nt
Filed under: uncultured bacterium
Lineage: Bacteria
Description: partial 16S ribosomal RNA
Rfam family: Bacterial small subunit ribosomal RNA
Source: RNAcentral
CCGCCGGCGACCGGCGCACGGGUGAGUAACACGUAUGCAACCUGGCCGUGACAGAUGGAUAACCGGGAGAAAUCCCGCCUAAUACAACAUAAUGCCGGGAGGGGACAUCCCCUGCCGGCCAAAGGGGCGACCCCGGUCACGGAUGGGCAUGCGGCGCAUUAGGUAGUUGGUGGGGCAACGGCCCACCGAGCCGACGAUGCGUAGGGGUUCUGAGAGGAAGGUCCCCCACAUUGGAACUGAGACACGGUCCAAACUCCUACGGAAGGCAGCAG